GACGAACGCUGGCGGCGUGCUUAACACAUGCAAGUCGUACGGUAAGGCCCUUUCGGGGGUACACGAGUGGCGAACGGGUGAGUAACACGUGAGUAACCUGCCCACAACUUUGGGAUAACGCUAGGAAACUGGUGCUAAUACUGGAUAUGUGCUCCUGCUGCAUGGUGGGGGUUGGAAAGCUCCGGCGGUUGUGGAUGGACUCGCGGCCUAUCAGCUUGUUGGUGGGGUAGUGGCCUACCAAGGCGGCGACGGGUAGCCGGCCUGAGAGGGUGACCGGCCACAUUGGGACUUAGAUAAGGCCCAGACUCCUACGGGAGGCAGCAGUGGGGAAUAUUGCACAAUGGGCGCAAGCCUGAUGCAGCAACGCCGCGUGCGGGAUGACGGCCUUCGGGUUGUAAACCGCUUUCAGCAGGGACGAAGCUUUUUGUGACGGUACCUGCAGAAGAAGCACCGGCUAACUACGUG
This 465-nucleotide ribosomal RNA is filed under the name uncultured bacterium. Its description in RNAcentral is "partial 16S ribosomal RNA". It matches the Rfam family "Bacterial small subunit ribosomal RNA", at positions 28 to 507 of the family's 1533-position model. The record is from RNAcentral.